GAGUUUGAUUCUGGCUCAGAACGAACGCUGGCGGUGCGUUUUAAGCAUGCAAGUCGAACGGUAAAAAGAGAGCUUGCUCUCUUUGAGAGUGGCGGACUGGUGAGUAACGCGUGGAUGAUCUACCUUUGAGAUGGGGAUAGCUUCUAGAAAUAGGAGAUAAUACCGAAUAACCUUGUUGUGUUUUGAUGUAACAAGAAAAGGAGCGUCAGCUCCGCUCGAAGAUGAGUCUGCGUCCCAUUAGCUAGUUGGUAGGGUAAAGGCUUACCAAGGCGACGAUGGGUAUCCGGCCUGAGAGGGUGAACGGACACAUUGGGACUGAGAUACGGCCCAAACUCCUACGGGAGGCAGCAGCUGAGAAUCUUCCGCAAUGGACGAAAGUCUGACGGAGCGACACCGCGUGAACGAUGAAGGCCGGAAGGUUGUAAAGUUCUUUUGCAGACAAAGAAUAAGGAUAGAAGGAAAUGA
This 465-nucleotide ribosomal RNA is filed under the name Treponema sp. canine oral taxon 201. RNAcentral's name for it is "bacterial SSU rRNA". It matches the Rfam family "Bacterial small subunit ribosomal RNA", at positions 9 to 464 of the family's 1533-position model. Lineage: Bacteria; Pseudomonadati; Spirochaetota; Spirochaetia; Treponematales; Treponemataceae. The record is from RNAcentral.